Non-coding RNA from Micropterus salmoides (largemouth bass), 381 nucleotides. The record is from the annotation of a RefSeq genome assembly. NCBI's taxonomy places the organism in Eukaryota, Metazoa, Chordata, Actinopteri, Centrarchiformes, Centrarchidae.
UUUAACAUGAUGGACUAUAGGACAGGACUGCUGCUUUUAACUGUCUGCUGGGCAGGUGUUGAUGGUCAGACUCUGACAGAAUCUGAACCAGUGGUUAAAAGGCCUGGAGAAUCCCACAGAUUGACCUGUACAUAUUCAGGUUUUAGUAGCCAUUUCUGGAACGCUUGGAUCAGACAGGCUGCUGGAAAGGGACUGGAGUGGCUUGCUACUAUCAGUGAUAGCAGUGGCAGCAUCUACUACUCUCAGUCCGUCAAAGGCCGGUUUACCAUCUCCAGAGACAACAGCAGACAGCAGGUGUAUCUGCAGAUGAACAGUCUGAAAACUGAAGAUUCUGCUGUUUAUUAUUGUGCUCGACACUCACAGUGACUGGAGUUGGAUGAG